Molecule: ribosomal RNA, 464 nt
Filed under: uncultured marine eukaryote
Lineage: Eukaryota
Description: bacterial SSU rRNA
Rfam family: Eukaryotic small subunit ribosomal RNA
Source: RNAcentral
UGGAUUUUGCAGGAGGGCGCACGACCGGGCUUUGCUCAGGCCGCGCGCCGACCUGUUUUUCGUCGGGGACUACGCCACUCUUAACUGGGGGGCGCUAGGACGCGGCUCGUUUACUUUGAAAAAAUUAGAGUGUUCAAAGCAGGCCUUUGCUUGAAUACAUUAGCAUGGAAUAAUGGAAUAGGACUUUGGUUCUAUUUUGUUGGUUUCUGGAACCGUAGUAAUGAUUAAUAGGGAUAGUUGGGGGCGUUUAUAUUUCCAUGUCAGAGGUGAAAUUCUUGGAUUUUGGAAAGAUAAACUUCUGCGAAAGCAUUCGCCAAGGAUGUUUUCAUUAGUCAAGGACGAAAGUUAGGGGAUCGAAGACGAUCAGAUACCGUCGUAGUCUUAACCAUAAACUAUGCCGACUAGGGAUCAGUGGACGUUAUUUUAUGACUCCAUUGGCACCUUGUGAGAAAUCAAAGUUUUUG